UAAACACAAAGAAUUUAUUUUUGCAAAAUUUAAAUGUAUCCUUUUUACAGAAAAGCACAGUCAACCAAAUAGAGGGAAGAUUGUACCUUGUUUUGUUUGAAACUUUAAUAGAGUAUGCACCAGUUCAGAAAAUGCAUGUUGAUAUGGUUUGGCUGUGUCCCACCCAAAUCUCAUCUUGAAUUCCCACGUGUUGUGGGAGGGACCCGGUGGGAGAUAAUUUAAUUAUGAGGGCGGUUUCCCCCAUACUGUUCUCGUGGUAGUGAAUAAGUCUCACGAGAUCUGACGGUUUUAUAAGGGGAAACCCCUUUCGCUUGGCUCUCCGAUUCUCUCUUGCUGCUGCCCUGUCGGAAGUGCCUUUCACCUUCCGCCAUGAUUGUGAGGCCUCCCCAGCCACGUGGAACUGAGUCCAUGAAACCUCUUUUGCUUCCCGGUCUCAGAUGAGGAUAGAGGGUCUUCCUCUCAGCAUCUGCAAUUAAAGUCUUAGAUCCUCUCUGAUUGGACCAGCCCAAGCCACAUGACUAUGUCUGAGCCAAUCACGAUAGCCAUGACCAGGGCCAUUGAAAGCCUCGUGUUCCAUCCCUGGAGCUGGAGUCAUUUGGAAUAAACUUUCCCUGACUCACAAGGAUCCUCAGAAAUUAGGAGCUGUUGGGAGAAUGAGGAAUGACCUGGAUGCUGAAGAGGCACCCACAGAUAUCUAAGAGAGAGGGGGAAGGUAUGAUUUUAAAAGGAGAUGGAAGUGUGUUAAUGUUGAAUGUCCUUUUUUUUCACAUUUUACAACUGGGACUUUGGUACUUUGAAUUGACUGGAAGAAGACCAAGCAGCAGCCACCACAGAGCCAGGCGUCUUUUGGUCUGGGACCGGGUUCCUUCUGUCUCGUGUGUUUCGUAAGGAAAGCUUUUGCUUCCCAGCUGCAGAAAUGUUUUCCAGGGGGGACUAGAGGACCAGAAUGUGCGGUAUUUCUUUCAGAGCUCAAAUAGAGUGAGUGGAGAGCAUAUGUAUCAAACAUUUACUGUGAUAUUUUUUUUUUUCUCAAAAUGGGGAAAUAAAUACAAAAAAUCAACAGAGGGAAUGAAAGCAGAGAAAUAGCCCAAAAGAAUACAGUACCAUACAUCUCCAGUUUAGACUGGCAAAAAGCAAAACUGCUUCUAGAAUGGUACAGGAAAUUGUGUGACAAAAUUAGAAUGGGCAGCUUUCCUAUUAAUUUUUACAUCGCUUUAUUUGUUUGCCAGUAAUUCAUAUCACCUAUAACAAAAGCACCAUCUUCCUGAAAGUUCUGGUAAAUAUACACUUCAGUUCACCGGGCAGAGGUUGGUAAAGCCGUGUCUUUUCAGAAAGUGUGAAUUAAGACAAGUAUUCAAAUGCAUUAGACCAAGGCUACUAUCUUUCAUAGCUACAUAUAAUGAACAUCUUCAGUGUAGGAUGAGUGGCCUCGCAAACUCCAUGAACAAAUAGUCACUUUAUUUAGAGAACCUUAUAAACCUCCUUUAGCUUUAAGUAGAUUGUCACACCUGGAGGGUCUCUAUUGGAGGAGCUUCAAUUUUCUUAUAAGAAAUGUGCUGAGAAGAAUUAGCCAAAGGAUAUUGAAAUUCCCUUCUUGCACAAAUGCAGAAAAGUAUUUUUCUUUGAAGUUCCUUGAGAUUAUGUUUUUCAAAGCCAAAGCAUUUGAAAUAUGUCCAUCAGGGGAAGCCUUUCUGACAAUUAUUUAUGAGACUCUGAGAAGCGGUGGAAGAGGGGACAGAAAUUUUAGAGGUAAAAUUGUGUUCCUUAAAAAGAUAUGUUGAAGGCUGGGCACGGUAGCUGACGCUUAUAAUCCCAGCACUUUGGGUGGCUGAGGUGGGCAGAUCACUCAAGGUCAGGAGUUCCAGACAAGCCUGGCCAAUUUGGUGAAACCUCAUCUCUAUUAAAAGUACAAAAAAUUAGCUGGUUGUGGUGGCAUGUGCCUGUAGUCCCAGCUACUCCGGAGGCUGAGGUGGGAGAACCACUUGAGCCUAGGGGGUAGGGGUUACAGUGAGCCGAGAUCACGCCACUGCACUCCAGCCUGGGUGACAGAGACUCUGUCUCAAACAAAAACAAACAAACAAAAAAAAAACAAAGGUGUGUCGAAGUCUGAUCCCUGCUACCUGUGCACGGGACCUUAUUUGGAAAUAAGGUCUUUGCAGAUGUAAUCAAGUUAAGAUGAAGUCAUACCAAAUUGGGGUGGGCCCUAAUCUAGUGACUGUUGUCUUUAUAAGAGGUCAUUUGGACACAGAGUCGUGGACAUAGAGAGGAGAGCAACCUGUGAUGAUGGGAGCAGAGAUUGCAGUGGUGCGCCUGCAACCAAGGAACACCACGGACUGCCCACAACUACCAGAAGCUUGGAAGAGGCAAGGGAGGAUUCUUCCCCAGAGUCUUCAGGUGGUGCACAGUCCUGCUGACACCUUGUUCUUGGACUUCCAGCCUCCAGAACUGUGAGAGAAUGAAUUUCUGUUGUUUUAAGCUGCCCAGUUUGUGGUCAUUUGUCAUGGCGGCCCUACGGAACUAGUACAGCCUGGACAAGCUCUAAGAUCUUCUUCCAGGCAGAGCAAGACCUAUAUCCUCUCCCGCCUUGACUCUGCAGAUAAACACAUGUCCUCAGCCAACCAGAUGGACUCAAGGUGACCUCACAAGUGCCUCCCUCUCCUGCUAAGGCCACCUGCCAGGGUCACUGUGUCACUCAGAUUCCCAACCUCAAAGAACCCCAACCUUUGGAGUCAACUCUCAUCAACCAGACACCAUAAUUUAAUUAGAAAAGGGGAGAUUUAAGAUAGAAAAACAAUACAGGACAUGGGUUUUCUGAGCAUGAAAUAGCUCCUGAACCCAAGAAAAAUUUCAUGUUCCAGUAGAAGGGCAUUGAUGACAAAGCCUGCUUCUGCCGUUUACUUGCUGGGGCUUUGGAUAAGACACUUGAGUGCUGUGAAUAUCAAGCUGGUCAUCUUUAAAAUGGGUCUAUCAUUCCUGCCUGGCCAAUUGCUUAGGGUUGUUUGGGGAACAAUUGAGAGAGACCGUGAGUGAACCAGGUUGAAAUGGAAAUUGCAUAUGAGUCUGAGGCAUUGAUUUUUAUUAGGGAGGCUACAAAACCCAGUUUUUAGUGAGAGAGGGAGAAAGUAUGAGAGGGAGAUGCUACUGGAAUUUAAUACUAGUGAGUUUCUCAGGCAGAGCUCAGGAUGAAGAAAUUUAUUUGCUCAAGGUCAACCAGCAAAAACUGGAAAAGACCUACAACUAGAAUUUGGGGUAUAAAAUUGUAUACUUGCUCCUGUUCUACCUUCUCACUGACCCCUUCCCUCCAACCUGCUCUAUGUAUUUUCUUUUUGAGACAGAGUCUUGCUCUGUCGCCCAGGCUGGAAUGAAGUGGCACAAUCUCGGCUCACUGCAACUGCUGCCUCCCAGGUUCAAGCGAGUCUCCUGCCUCAGCCUCCCAAGUAGCUGGGGUUACAGGCGUGUGCCACCACGCCCGGCUAAUUUUUUUUUUUUUUUUAGUAGAGUUGGGGUUUCACCAUGUUGGCCAGGCUGGUCUCAAACUCCUGGCCUCAAAUGAUCCACCCGCCUCGGCCUCCCAAUGUGCUGGGGUUACAGGCAUAAGUCACUGCGCCUGGCCCAUAUUUUAUUUUCUAAAUUGUUUUUUCUAAUUGAGGAAGCUUUUAUUCCUCCUUCUCCCCUCUCAAUUCCUGUCCCUCUCUCUGUCCUUCCUUUUCCCUCAUCCUCUUUCUCUUCCUCUCAAACCUCAUUUUUCCUUUGAAAAGUUUCAAGUAGAAUGAAUUCAGUGUUCUCAGCCGAGUUCCAGCAUAAAGAGCUCACUAUGCACUUCGACAGAAUUAUCUCCUUUGAAGAAUGCCCACUUUAAUCUCCUCUAAGACAGGUUUUUGUGGUGUUAGAACAAAAUGACAUAAUACUCUUCAAGCUAAAAGGCUUAUUAAGUAGCAUUCAGAAAAUCCUGCAACUUCCUCGUAAUUGGAGGCUUAAUUGGGUGGGUUUAAUAGCAUUUGGUUAUUAGGGCUAAUCAAAUAUUCCAGAAUAAUUGACUCAACUUUUUUUUUUGGGGGGGGCAAUUAUCAUCUCUAAUAUUGUUGUGAUUAAAAAGAUACAUCUUGGCUGAGUGAAGACAUUGUUCUAUGUAAUGCAUGUCUCAGUAGGGUUGGAACCAACAUAACCCUGGGCCAGCAGCUUCAUGGCAGAUUUAGUCAUAGCACAUGAUCAUAGCCCAGGAGAGCAUCUCUUUCGUCUGAGGUCUCUUGUGAUGCAAUGAAAAGCUUGAUUGUUUCCAGGGAACCUGUUUCAAGACCUGAUUAUGGGUAUGGGGGAGAGACAGUUGGGUUAGACCAUGUCAUAUCGUUUCAUCAGGGAGAUAAUAACCACCAUUCUAGGCUGGGAACUCCUCCGCCCCUUAAUAACCAUGGGACUUCAGGAAAGGGUGGGGGUCCCUGGGUUCUCAGCAGGGGAAGGAAGGAUAAUAAUUCCCACCUUUACCUCUCACAUGAGGAAAGGAGUAUGAACAGCCUUGAAAUUAAAUUGCAAAACCCUAUGGAAAUAGGAAGGAAGUAGAGAGAGAUGCUGUCCUCUGAGAUUUGGACUUCAACUAGUGGAGCCCCUGAAGGAGAAUGAGAAGGGUCACAUUUGUGUUUUGGGCAAGAUCUGUUCUGGAAGUCCUGUGAAGAAUGGAUUGGAAAAUAAUGAGAGUGGAAAGAAGAUGGGUGAGAACCAGAUCUUAGGAGCAGAAAUCCCUAGAAGGCACAUUGUAGAUGGACGUUAAAGCAAUGACUUGUUUGUGCUCAGUGAGUGCACGGAAGGGAUGGGCACUCUUUUUCUGUAAAUGCCUGGAUAGUACGUAUCUUAGGCUUUGCGUGCCAUACCAUCUCUGUCACAGCUGCACACCUCUGCCAGCGGAGUAGCUCAAAGCAGCUGUAGACAAUUUGCAAAAGAAUAGGUAUGGCUGUGUUCCAGUAAAACCUAUUUAUAAAAAUAAGUGGUUUGCUGACCCCCAGUGCAAGGUGACACUCAGGAUUUUCUUGACCAGAAUUCUGUAUUAACCAGAGUCUAGGAGUGGUGCAGAUACAGAGGGGUUAUUAGUCAGGGACCUCAAUGGAAAGCAUCAAGGUAAAGGGCCUAUUAAUGAAGGUAUGAGUGCAAUAAGGGAAGCAACAAGGGGUGCUGAGGCCCCCGGGGACCCACAGCAGCAGGAAGCCAUCACCAUCCUGAGGCCAGAGGGGCAGGGAGAGGGAGUGGUGCUCGUAGAACCCAGGUGAGAGCUAUGUCUUGGGAGAGGAGCCACCUGGCAGGAGCCGAAGCUGUGGUGGGACGCAGUCACCGUAAGGACUGUGCCCAAGCCAGGAAGAGAGGGAGGGGAGGAACAAAUGGCCCGACCUCCCUCUCUGCUGUUUGUUUUUUCCAGAGUUGCUAUUUGCCUCAUUGCCCAACCUCAGCCCCAUUUUACUUGUGGUUUAUCAUCCUGCCUCUAAGCUGUUACGUAUCUCAAACUAAUGAAUGUUGUUAAGAAAGAAAAGAA
This 5518-nucleotide long non-coding RNA is filed under the name Homo sapiens (human). RNAcentral's name for it is "HSALNT0214836". The record is from RNAcentral. Lineage: Eukaryota; Metazoa; Chordata; Mammalia; Primates; Hominidae.